RNAcentral lists this ribosomal RNA (384 nucleotides) under Vibrio furnissii. RNAcentral's name for it is "bacterial SSU rRNA". It matches the Rfam family "Bacterial small subunit ribosomal RNA", at positions 959 to 1342 of the family's 1533-position model. The record is from RNAcentral. Lineage: Bacteria; Pseudomonadati; Pseudomonadota; Gammaproteobacteria; Vibrionales; Vibrionaceae.
ACGCGAAGAACCUUACCUACUCUUGACAUCCAGAGAACUUUCCAGAGAUGGAUUGGUGCCUUCGGGAACUCUGAGACAGGUGCUGCAUGGCUGUCGUCAGCUCGUGUUGUGAAAUGUUGGGUUAAGUCCCGCAACGAGCGCAACCCUUAUCCUUGUUUGCCAGCGAGUAAUGUCGGGAACUCCAGGGAGACUGCCGGUGAUAAACCGGAGGAAGGUGGGGACGACGUCAAGUCAUCAUGGCCCUUACGAGUAGGGCUACACACGUGCUACAAUGGCGCAUACAGAGGGCGGCCAACUUGCGAAAGUGAGCGAAUCCCAAAAAGUGCGUCGUAGUCCGGAUUGGAGUCUGCAACUCGACUCCAUGAAGUCGGAAUCGCUAGUAAU